AUGGCUCCGACCGAGGGAUCCUCCAUGGCCGAUCUUCCCGCAGUCGAUGACGACCAAGAGGAGUCCCGCCCCAUGUCCUGGUUCCCUCCGCACGCCCCCCACGACUGCGGCGAUCCUCCCCCAAAGUCGGUCGUCCUCGACACCCUCGUCUACGCCGACGACCGCACCAACGCCUCCACCGCCGAGGGCUUCACCAGCAACGGCCACGCCAUCUGCCUCACCUUCUGGUCCGCGCAUCCACCGCUCAUCUCCUACUUCACCGUCCACCUCCCCACCCUCCUGCAGGACGGACCCGCCACCUCGCUCGACCUUCUGCCACGCCUUGUCCGCACCGACGGCGACCUCGCCCUCUUCCGCGUCAUGGUCGGCCCUUCGCCCAGCAAUCGGCACCACAUCAACUACAUCGUCUACCGUGUACGUGACGGCUUCAGCAAGCUUGAGGUGCCGACUGGUCACUUGCCCUCCUGCGCUGCCGCUGCCCCGACGACGGCAGGUUCUUGGUCGCCAAUCUGCGGUCGACUUACACCCGACUGCUACUUCCAUACUCCAACCAAGGUGAUCGCCCUCGGUGGCGACCGCGGUACAAUCGGCUGGGUCGACCUCUGGCAUGGCAUCCUCAUCGGUGAUCUGCUCACCAGCGGCGGCGACGAUGACGACGUCCUCCGCUUCAUCCCUUUGCCCUUGCUUUGGGCGCCCAACAAGAUGAUCCCAGGCCCGUUGUGCUGUGACCGGGACGUCUCGGUCGGCAGCGACGGCUACAUCAAAUACUCGGAGGUGUGGGCUCAUUCCGUGCCCGUCUCACGGAAUCGUGCCACCUGUGUCUCCCAGGAGGACUGGGGUGCCGCCAUACUGACAUGGCUGGAGCCCAAGAAGAAGUGGCACGUCGACCUCAAGCUCAAAGCCUCGGACAUCAUCGUGGACGAGACUCACUCCCUUUUGCUUCCUCGGCAUGAUGUCACGGCCACAGGGAAGAGUCCGGCCUUGAGUAGCCACACAUCUCUUCUCAUCUCUCUUUUCCACAAACCCACACACGGCCGCACACAACUCUCUCUUAUCUCUCCCCGCACCAACCACAGCCACACACACACACCCUGCCCAUCUUGCCAUGCCCGUGCACUCUCUCUUCCUUGCAGCCAUAGCUCUCCCGCCGGCGCACCGAGAUGCGACACCUCCGGCCCGUCGCGCCGCUCCGGGCACUCGUCGGCGUGGUCAAGUCCUGCUGUCUCCCUCCUCUCAUGGUGGCUGUCGUGUGCUUGGAUUCGCGGCCAAGCAAACAAGCAGCGCUGGCCGGCAACCAACCAAGCAAGCAGUAGCAGCAGCGCCAGCUUGCGAGGAAGCAAGCAGCAGCAGCAGCGUCGGCUAUCAAGGAAGCAAGCAGCAGCGCAAGCGGCAAGCAGGAAGAGCAGCAGCACCGCCGGCAGCACGCGUUGGCAGCGGUGGCGCGCGGUAGAGAGAUUGGCUGACGGCAGCACGUGCAUGCGCUGUGGUGGCGCUGGCAGCAGCGGCGUCUGUGGCGUUUUUUUUAAUUUCUGCCAACAAGUUUUACCGAGUGCGUCGCUCGGCAAAAACACCUGUGACACAUUUGUUUUUUUUUUCACCAUGAAACUUACAAUCUAUUCACCUUCAAUCCGCCUCACCUUCCGGGCUGCGCGCCCGCCGCUCCUCUCCUACUUCACCGCCCACAUCCCCGGCCUCCUCCGGGAUGGACCAGCCACCCCACUCGACGGACUUCCCCGCCUCCUCCGCACCCACGCCGACCUCGCCCUCCUCCGUGUCCCCAUCAACUGGAGAGACAACGACUACUUCCUCUACUGCGCGGCCGACCGCUUCAGCAGGCUUCUCCUGCUCCCCGCCCUCCCUGCCCGCCUGCUCUCCGACCGUUCCAUCGGCCAUCUGCUCUGCCCUGGCCAAGAAGAAGAAGAAGGCAGGUACUUUGUCGCUGCUCUCCGCCCGAGGCCCGACCAUGCCCCUGGGUAA
Molecule: ribosomal RNA, 1977 nt
Filed under: Triticum aestivum (bread wheat)
Lineage: Eukaryota; Viridiplantae; Streptophyta; Magnoliopsida; Poales; Poaceae
Description: partial small subunit ribosomal RNA
Source: RNAcentral